UACGAGUGCCCCAAGCGUUAUCCGGAAUUAUUGGGCGUAAAGGGUGUGUAGGUGGUUUUGUUAGUCUUCUGUUAAAGCUCCCGGCUUAACCGGGAAAGUGCAGAGGAAACGGCAAGACUAGAGGAUGUGAGGGGUCUAUGGAACUCAUGGUGUAGGGGUGAAAUCCGUUGAUAUCAUGGGGAACACCAAAAGCGAAGGCAAUAGACUGGCGCAUUCCUGACACUGAAACACGAAAGCGUGGGUAGCGAAUGGGG
This 254-nucleotide ribosomal RNA is filed under the name uncultured bacterium. Its description in RNAcentral is "partial 16S ribosomal RNA". It matches the Rfam family "Bacterial small subunit ribosomal RNA", at positions 524 to 777 of the family's 1533-position model. The record is from RNAcentral.